CUUGCAAUUUCCAGCAAGAAUAUUUAUAAUGUGCCUUGUCACGAAAGUGAUGAUGAUUCUGAACUCGUUGCGGAAUAAUCGUUUUGGACUGGGGGGCGGUACCCCACAGCUCCACCAAUAUAUUUCAUGGGGCUGACAUAGUUUCGACAGGCGAAGUAAAGGCAAAUCGAUUGAAUCCGGGUUGUUCCGUUAAAAACAAAAUUAAAACUGAAUGGCGAUAGAAUCGCUGCGAACAGCAAUGUUCGCCUUGCAAUGGCUGCUUAAUAAAGCACAGAAAUACGUUGGCGAUUGUUGAUGUAUUUCAUUAUAGCUUUUGCGGGGUCUGUCGGGUACCUGGCAACAGAAACC
This 348-nucleotide transfer-messenger RNA is filed under the name bovine gut metagenome. RNAcentral's name for it is "Alphaproteobacteria transfer-messenger RNA". It matches the Rfam family "Alphaproteobacteria transfer-messenger RNA". Rfam says of the family: Bacterial tmRNA, also known as 10Sa RNA or SsrA, is named for its dual tRNA and mRNA-like properties. Its role is to liberate the mRNA from a stalled ribosome. The record is from RNAcentral.